RNAcentral lists this ribosomal RNA (329 nucleotides) under uncultured eukaryote. RNAcentral describes it as "partial 18S ribosomal RNA". It matches the Rfam family "Eukaryotic small subunit ribosomal RNA", at positions 1470 to 1796 of the family's 1831-position model. The record is from RNAcentral.
CCCUUAGAUGUUCUGGGCCGCACGCGCGCUACAAUGAUGAAUUCAACAAGUUUAUAACCUUGGUUGAAAAGCCUGGGUAAUCUUUUGAACUUUCGUCGUGAUGGGGCUAGACCCUUGCAAUUAUUGGUCUCCAACGAGGAAUUCCUAGUAAACGCAAGUCAUCAGCUUGCAUUGAUUACGUCCCUGCCCUUUGUACACACCGCCCGUCGCACCUACCGAUUGAAUGGUCCGGUGAAAUCUUCGGAUUGAGACUUUGAUUUGUUUACUCAAAACGCUGUUUCGAGAAGUUGAUUAAACCUUACCAUUUAGAGGAAGGUGAAGUCGUAACA